This 229-nucleotide unclassified non-coding RNA is filed under the name uncultured Acidimicrobiia bacterium. RNAcentral describes it as "contains 16S-23S intergenic spacer region". The record is from RNAcentral. Lineage: Bacteria; Bacillati; Actinomycetota; Acidimicrobiia.
UCCGGUUUGUCACCGGCAGUUUCCCAUGAUGUCAAACCCAGGUAAGGUUCUUCGGGUCGCAUCGAAUUAAGCCGCAUGCUCCGCCGCUUGUGCGGGGACCCGUCAAUUCCUUUGAGUUUUAGCCUUGCGGCCGUACUCCCCAGGCGGGGCACUUAAUGCGUUAGCUUCGGCACGGCAACCGUUGAUCGGGUCGCCACACCUAGUGCCCAACGUUUACAGCGUGGACUAC